GCAGAGUAGUACUCGGCUUCCUCCACAAGACAUGCUCGGCCUCGGCAGUGUGCUGGACGCUAGAGCCGCGUCUCCAUUUGCCGGACGUAGCCUCAACUCUGCCCUACAUGGCGAGCUCUGCAAGCGCCGGCAGCCUUGGCGCACAACGCCUCUGCAUGGUCGCUGGUCAUCAGCCAUGGACGAGCCCAACGUCGCGCUGAGCUUCGCUUCUGGUGGCCGCCGACUCAGCUCGUUAUCGUCUACAGCUAGCCGUGGAUCUCGCCUGGACCUCGUCGUUCCUGCUCGACAACGCUUCGGCAUGCCGUUGAGUUUUGCCUCACCUCGCCGUCAAGGUUCCCUAGCGCGCGAGCUCCCUCUCCAGCCUUCCCCGGCGCACGCGCCCUCGCUUCCUAGUUCCGUCGAUCGCCGCUCGCCAAGCUUACGCACCCGAUGCUCCUACUUCAAUAUCCGUGUCCUUCUCUGUUGCUGCAGCAGGCUACGAAGCUCCGCCACACUGCAUAGCAGCCACUACUCCUCGCCAUCAGGCCUGAUGACUGACUCACUGACACCGCGCUCGAUGUGGAAGAAUGGAAUUAGAUGAAGAAAGCGAGGUUCAUCGUGGUGCUCACCAGGUGCUCGAUAAAAUGACUGAGUUACGAAACCCUCGCCGACUUCGUUGUUCUUGUGAUUAUCGAGCCAGAUUCAGUUAUGUUGAUCACGUGAUGCGGAAGACGAGCUGAGUCAACCAAAAGAUGUUGUUAAGUGUGGGCUUCUUCGCAAGGCGAUGCUGAUGAAUGAACUUAAGGAUGGAUGACCCGAACAAGUGUCGGACCAAAAGGUGAUCGCCAAGUGGACGUCAUCUAACAAACACUAACCUAGUGUUAUUCCAGGCAAGCCCCGGUGCAUGCAACCCCUUCCUUGUGUUUU
Zea mays is the source of this 906-nucleotide long non-coding RNA. RefSeq lists it as uncharacterized. The transcript is spliced from 3 exons. The record is from RefSeq and is a predicted model, not a curated record. NCBI's taxonomy places the organism in Eukaryota, Viridiplantae, Streptophyta, Magnoliopsida, Poales, Poaceae.